This 719-nucleotide ribosomal RNA is filed under the name uncultured fungus. RNAcentral's name for it is "LSU rRNA". It matches the Rfam family "Eukaryotic large subunit ribosomal RNA", at positions 59 to 633 of the family's 3401-position model. Lineage: Eukaryota; Fungi. The record is from RNAcentral.
AAGAAUACAUGAUUCCCUANUACUGCGAGUGAAGNGGGAUAAGCUCAAAUUUUAAAUCCGUUAGGUUUUACCUGACCGAAUUGUAAUUUGAAGAAGCGUUUUCUACGUUUGAUCGGCCCAAGUCCUUUGGGAUAAGGCAUCAUGGAGGGUUACAAUCCCGUACGGCCGUGACAUUGCGCUCUACGAUACGCUUUCAAAGAGUCAAGCUGUUUGGGAUUGCAGCUUAAAAUGGGAGGUAAAUUUCUCCUAAGGCUAAAUAUUGGCGAGAGACCGAUAGCGAACAAGUACCGUGAGGGAAAGAUGAAAAGCACUUUGAAAAGAGAGUUAAGUAGUACGUGAAAUUGUUGAAAGGGAAACGAUUGAAGCCAGUCGUACCGACGAGAAAUCAACCUCUUCAAGUGCGGGACGGGUAUGCGAAGAGUUAAAACCUUCUCGUGCUCGCAACCUCGUGCUUUUGGGGCGUAUUUUUUCGUAUUUGGUAGGUUAACAUCAAUUUUGGUCGUUAUAGAAUGGCCGGAGGAAUGUAGCUUCGAUUUAUCGAAGUGUUAUAGCCUUUGGUAGAUGUAAUGACCGGGAUUGAGGAUUGCAACGAAUGCCCUUCGGGGCUAGCCGCCUGAUCUCUGAUGGUUACCUUGGGGUUGAAAGCUUGCUUACAGCUUCAAGAUUGAUCGUCAAAAGGUUAGAAUCGCGAUUAAAUAUUCGUUAAGGAUGUUGACGUA